Dreissena polymorpha is the source of this 1879-nucleotide long non-coding RNA. RefSeq lists it as uncharacterized. The record is from RefSeq and is a predicted model, not a curated record. Lineage: Eukaryota; Metazoa; Mollusca; Bivalvia; Myida; Dreissenidae. The transcript is spliced from 6 exons.
GUUAGCCAUCUUGAAUUGUUAGCGUGAAAAGAAAGCUAUUACAUUUAUUGGAUAUUUUAAUAUGAUGAAUAUUCUAGUAACACCUGGCGCCGUGACCUGGAUGCAGAUUCUAAGCAGAUGGGCCAAAAUGGGGGCAGCUGGAGAGACUCGCCCGGAACUGACAAGCCUGGAGGAAGCUGGUUGGCGAGAUGGGACAACAGGCGAAGAAUGUUUUUCAGUUUCGUCGGAAGACGUUUCCCACCAACCAACCUGUCUUGAAAGAAAUAACUUUUGAACCCGAUUUUCUGUUUCUCCUCACAACAAUUUGCAUCAAACCUCUUGUCUGCUCCUCAGCUGAAAUCAUCAUGUAGCAGUCACAAUAGUUGAGCGGUUGGAGAGGCAUGCAUUGUGUCCUACUACCUGCUCAGACUUUAUCAUGUUUGGCAGAUAAAACAUGCUGAUCAAAAAGAAUGUGUACCACAGGGGCGAGUGUUUCCAUUUGAGUGAUUGACAAGAAGAAGAGAUGAGAAAUGUUAUCAUCAUAUUUUACACUCUACAUUUAUAGUGUACAGCUCAAUGUAUUGAACUGGUGUUGUAGAAAAUAAUUGGAGAUACAUGCAAACAUUAUAACAUUAUAUAUAAGAUGAUAUUUCAAAAGCAAUAAGAAAGAAAAAGUAUAAAAAGGUCAAAACAGUAGACCUUGUGUUUACAGUGGACAGGUUUAAAGUGGAAGUGACUAGUUAACUGUUGAUCAUAAGCUGCACUGAUGGAAAAAAAUAGUGGGAAAUUACUAUCUAGAAAACUGUUUAACGUACGACAACAGUUGUGGAACUUUAUAAAUGACUGUAUGUAACAGGGCUGGGCAUUUUUCCUUAUAUAGCUAAAGUGAAACCUUUUGAACACUAGUGAAGUCACUGUUUUUUUCCAAUCUUCAUGCAUUUUGGUCGAAUAUUUAUUCAAAUGAUGGCUCAGUCCAGUUUCGAAAUUUUUAUGUCUAUUCAAAAAACAUAUCCACUAGAGCGCGAGGCAAUUGUCUUUAUAUGGCUAUAAUGAAACCUUGUAAACUCUCUAGAAGUGACCUUUUUAGCCAUAUCUCCAUAAAUUUUGGUCAGAAUAUUUAUUCUAAUGAUAGCUCAGUUGUCGAGUUCGUAACUGGUUCCAGUUUGUAGACUAACAUGGCUGUCAGUGGACAUGACAGUUUUUCAUCAAUUGCUAGAGUAGAACCUUGUUAACACACAAUUGGCCCUUUUUAUGUGCAUUUUUCAUGAAAGAUGAUAAGAGCAUUUUGCCCAAUGUAAUCUCAGCUGACUUUCAAACUGGAUCACAUAACGUCAAAAAGUGGGUCAAAAUGUCAAAUUAAAAAAAGCUUGUAAACACUGGAAGUUGCAUUUGAAAUUGUGUUCCUUUUUUAAAGUUUGUCAAAACAUUUGCUGUAAUGAUAAGCAAAGUCAAGUUUAUAAAUGAUUAUUUGCCUACAAAUUACAUAUUUUUCAUCAAGUACAUUUAUUAUUCUAAACUACACCUUCUCAGAAUAGUUUAGUUCCUUCUGGUCACAGUUGAGCACCUUAGGGCUCUUGUUCUAUAAUUUGAUUGUUUUGGAAAAUUGUCAUUUGCCAAAAUGUGAGCAAGUCCAAAUUUUAUUAACCCUGCUUUGUAGUAUCUUGUUUUCCUUAUAUGUAUAAAGUGGAAAAUUAUCUAUGAAUGUGACUGCAUAGAUAUUUGGUAUUCAGCAUAGCAUCGUGUAAAUGUAGUAAAACUAAACACAAUUGUGUCAUCAUAAAACUGGCCAUGCCGUGGGGGUCAAAUGGUUAAUACAGACUUGUAGGAAAAAGACUUCUAAAAAUUUUAUCCGUUAAAUAUAUUUUUUGUACAUAAUGAUUAGCUUUUUCCUUCAACUUAU